GGAGAGGUGUCCGAGAGGCCGAAGGAGCACGCUUGGAAAGCGUGUAUAGGGGAAACUCUAUCGAGGGUUCGAAUCCCUCCCUCUCCG
This 87-nucleotide transfer RNA is filed under the name Candidatus Poribacteria bacterium. RNAcentral describes it as "tRNA-Ser". It matches the Rfam family "tRNA". From Rfam's summary of the family: Transfer RNA (tRNA) molecules are approximately 80 nucleotides in length. Lineage: Bacteria; Candidatus Poribacteria. RNAcentral also lists the same sequence under 1 other name. The record is from RNAcentral.